UUCUUCAGGGCAGGGUGCAAUUCCCGACCGGCGGUAAAGUCCGCGAGCCGUUAUGGCAGACUUGGUGUAACUCCAAGACCGACAGUAAAGUCUGGAUGAAAGAAGU
RNAcentral lists this non-coding RNA (106 nucleotides) under bovine gut metagenome. RNAcentral's name for it is "FMN riboswitch (RFN element)". It matches the Rfam family "FMN riboswitch aptamer (RFN element)". From Rfam's summary of the family: The RFN element is a highly conserved domain that is found frequently in the 5'-untranslated regions of prokaryotic mRNAs that encode for flavin mononucleotide (FMN) biosynthesis and transport proteins. The record is from RNAcentral.